CCUACGGGUGACAGCAGUGAGGAAUAUUGCACAAUGGACGAAACCCUGAUGCAGCCACGCCGCGUGAAGGAAGACGGUUUUCGGAUUGUAAACUUCUUUUCUUAGUGAAGAAGAAUGACGCUAGCUAAGGAGCAAGCCACGGCUAACUACGUGCCAGCAGCCGCGGUAAUACGGAGGUGGCAAGCGUUAUCCGGAAUUACUGGGUGUAAAGGGAGCGCAGGCGGGAAGCCAAGUCAGCUGUGAAAACUACGGGCUUAACUUGUAAACUGCAGUUGAAACUGGUUUUCUUGAGUGAAGUAGAGGUUGGCGGAAUUCGGAGUGUAGCGGUGAAAUGCGUAGAUAUUCGGAGGAACACCGGUGGCGAAGGCGGCUAACUGGGCUUUAACUGACGCUGAGGCUCGAAAGUGUGGGGAGCAAACAGGAUUAGAUACCCUAGUAGUC
RNAcentral lists this ribosomal RNA (441 nucleotides) under uncultured bacterium. RNAcentral describes it as "partial 16S ribosomal RNA". It matches the Rfam family "Bacterial small subunit ribosomal RNA", at positions 338 to 795 of the family's 1533-position model. The record is from RNAcentral.